AUUGAACGCUGGCGGCAGGCCUAACACAUGCAAGUCGAGCGGAGCGGCGGACGGGUGAGUAAUGCCUAGGAAUCUGCCUGGCAGUGGGGGAUAACGUCCGGCAACGGGCGCUAAUACCGCAUACUCUCAGAUGAGCCUAGGUCGGAUUAGCUAGUUGGUGGGGUAAAGGCCUACCAGGGCGACGAUCCGUAACUGGUCUGAGAGGAUGAUAAGUCACGCUGGACCUGAGGCAGGGUCCAGACUCCUCCGGGAGGCAGAAGUGGGGAAGAUGGGACAAUGGGCGAAAGCCUGAUCCAGCCAUGCCGCGUGUGUGAAGAAGGUCUUCGGAUUGUAAAGCAAUUUAAGUUGGGAGGCGUUACCAAAAGAAUAAGCACCGGCUAACUUCGUGCCAGCAGCCGCGUAAUAC
RNAcentral lists this ribosomal RNA (406 nucleotides) under uncultured bacterium. RNAcentral describes it as "partial 16S ribosomal RNA". It matches the Rfam family "Bacterial small subunit ribosomal RNA", at positions 30 to 526 of the family's 1533-position model. The record is from RNAcentral.